RNAcentral lists this ribosomal RNA (393 nucleotides) under uncultured bacterium. RNAcentral's name for it is "bacterial SSU rRNA". It matches the Rfam family "Bacterial small subunit ribosomal RNA", at positions 505 to 898 of the family's 1533-position model. The record is from RNAcentral.
GUGCCAGCAGCCGCGGUAAUACGAAGGGGGCUAGCGUUGUUCGGAAUUACUGGGCGUAAAGCGCGCGCAGGCGGUUCGAUAAGUUGGGGGUGAAAUCCCUGGGCUCAACCCAGGAAUGGCCUUCAAGACUGUCGAGCUAGAGGACGAGAGAGGUGAGUGGAAUUCCCAGUGUAGAGGUGAAAUUCGUAGAUAUUGGGAAGAACACCGGUGGCGAAGGCGGCUCACUGGCUCGUUUCUGACGCUGAGGCGCGAAGCGUGGGGAGCAAACAGGAUUAGAUACCCUGGUAGUCCACGCCCUAAACGAUGAGUGCCAGGUGUCGGGAAGCUUAGCUUCUCGGCGCCGCAGCUAACGCCUUAAGCACUCCGCCUGGGGAGUACGGCCGCAAGGUUAAA